Molecule: ribosomal RNA, 393 nt
Filed under: uncultured bacterium
Lineage: Bacteria
Description: partial 16S ribosomal RNA
Rfam family: Bacterial small subunit ribosomal RNA
Source: RNAcentral
AUACGUAGGGGGCGAGCGUUGUCCGGAAUGAUUGGGCGUAAAGGGCGCGUAGGCGGCGCGGUAAGUCUGGAGUGAAAGUCCUGCUUUCAAGGUGGGAAUUGCUUUGGAUACUGCCGCGCUUGAGUGCAGGAGAGGUUAUCGGAAUUCCCGGUGUAGCGGUGAAAUGCGUAGAGAUCGGGAGGAACACCAGUGGCGAAGGCGGGUAACUGGACUGCAACUGACGCUGAGUCACGAAAGCGUGGGUAGCAAACAGGAUUAGAUACCCUGGUAGUCCACGCUGUAAACGAUGAGUGCUAGGUGUUGGGUAGCGAUAUUCAGUGCCGAAGUAAACACAAUAAGCACUCCGCCUGGGGAGUACGGUCGCAAGACUGAAACUCAAAUGAAUUGGCGGGG